UUUCCCAUUUGACUACUACUUUUUUUCUUAAUUUAGUAGCUAUGCUUAUGGGAUAGAUGAAAAUUACCAUGAACUGAAGAGGGAGGAUUUUUUGUGUGUUCUCCUCCUAUAUGAAACAGCUGAACAGAAAACU
RNAcentral lists this small nucleolar RNA (133 nucleotides) under Choloepus hoffmanni (Hoffmann's two-fingered sloth). RNAcentral describes it as "Small nucleolar RNA SNORA29 (ENSCHOG00000014076.1)". It matches the Rfam family "Small nucleolar RNA SNORA29". From Rfam's summary of the family: ACA29 is a member of the H/ACA class of snoRNA that guide the sites of modification of uridines to pseudouridines. The record is from RNAcentral. Lineage: Eukaryota; Metazoa; Chordata; Mammalia; Pilosa; Megalonychidae.